RNAcentral lists this ribosomal RNA (433 nucleotides) under uncultured bacterium. Its description in RNAcentral is "partial 16S ribosomal RNA". It matches the Rfam family "Bacterial small subunit ribosomal RNA", at positions 29 to 507 of the family's 1533-position model. The record is from RNAcentral.
AACGAACGCUGGCGGCAUGCCUAACACAUGCAAGUCGAACGAGACCUUCGGGUCUAGUGGCGCACGGGUGCGUAACGCGUGGGAACCUGCCCUUAGGUUCGGAAUAACUCCCCGAAAGGGGUGCUAAUACCGGAUAAUGUCUUCGGACCAAAGAUUUAUCGCCUUUGGAUGGGCCCGCGCUGGAUUAGCUAGUUGGUAGGGUAAAAGCCUACCAAGGCGACGAUCCAUAGCUGGUCUGAGAGGAUGAUCAGCCACACUGGGACUGAGACACGGCCCAGACUCCUACGGGAGGCAGCAGUGGGGAAUAUUGGACAAUGGGCGAAAGCCUGAUCCAGCAAUGCCGCGUGAGUGAUGAAGGCCCUAGGGUUGUAAAGCUCUUUUACCCGGGAUGAUAUUGACAGUACCGGGAGAAUAAGCUCCGGCUAACUCCGUG